UACGGAAGGCAGCAGUGGGGAAUAUUGCACAAUGGGCGCAAGCCUGAUGCAGCCAUGCCGCGUGUAUGAAGAAGGCCUUCGGGUUGUAAAGUACUUUCAGUCGUGAGGAAGGUGUUAAGGUUAAUAACCUUAGCAAUUGACGUUAGCGACAGAAGAAGCACCGGCUAACUCCGUGCCAGCAGCCGCGGUAAUACGGAGGGUGCGAGCGUUAAUCGGAAUUACUGGGCGUAAAGGGCACGCAGGCGGUUAAUUAAGUUGGAUGUGAAAUCCCCGGGCUUAACCUGGGAAUGGCAUUCAGACUGGUUAGCUAGAGUCUUGUAGAGGGGGUAGAAUUCCAUGUGUAGCGGUGAAAUGCGUAGAGAUGUGGAGGAAUACCGGUGGCGAAGGCGGCCCCUGGGACAAAGGCUGACGCUCAUGUGCGAAAGCGUGGGGAGCAAACAGGGAUUAGAUACC
Molecule: ribosomal RNA, 453 nt
Filed under: uncultured bacterium
Lineage: Bacteria
Description: bacterial SSU rRNA
Rfam family: Bacterial small subunit ribosomal RNA
Source: RNAcentral